Molecule: long non-coding RNA, 1062 nt
Filed under: Apteryx haastii (Great spotted kiwi)
Lineage: Eukaryota; Metazoa; Chordata; Aves; Apterygiformes; Apterygidae
Description: lncRNA (ENSAHAG00000010336.1)
Source: RNAcentral
AUGGGGUCUAGAUGCCAGGCCGGGGAAGUCGCGCUGCCACCCGGCUGGCUGGGCCCUGCUCGGGGCUGCACCCACGGCCCCCCGCAGGUGCCGGCGCCGGUCCCCGCCGGGGGAGCUGCCGCCUCGCUCGGCCGCGAAGGGCGCCGCUGCCCUGGGCGCUGCGCCCGGCUGCAGCGUGCAGCGCCGAGCACAACCCGGCCGGCCCCGGCCCCGGGGAAGGGGCUCUGCCCCGCUGCCGGCGCCGCUCGCACCCGCCCAGGCGAGGCCCCUCCGGAGCCGCCGGACACGGGGCCGGGGCCGCGGCGGCCGCGGGGAGCAGCGUCCUGGGAAGUUUGGGGAAUUCCGCCUUUUGGAGGGAGGAAGGGAGGGAAACACCCCCCCGAUCUCCCCCCCUCCCCCCAAAAAACCAGGCGGGGGUCGACCCUGCGCAGGGCGCUGGCGCAGCCCGGCCGCGGCGGUCCCGGCGGGUCCUGCCCUUCCUCUGGCCCCGACCCCGGGCUGUGGCCCGAGCCGGCCCGGGAGCCCCGGCACCGCGCUGCGGUCCGGGAACCGGCAUCUCCUUACCUGCCGGUUUCACGUUUGCUGCCUGCCCUGCUCCGGCUCUUCCUCUCCUCCUUCCUCCUCCUCCUCCUCUCUCUCCCUCUCCCUGCUGCUUGGGGCUCUUUAUGGAGAUUCAUUCAUUCAUGCCUUCCCAUCGGUCCCUCAGCGUUUCCCUGCCUCCCGGAGGCAGAGCGUGUGACGCCUCGCCCCUUUCCAGCCACUUUCUCAUGUCAGAGAGAGGCGCUGCCCCAGCCUGGCGGGGCGGUCGGGCCGGGACACGCGUGGGAGCGCAGCCGCGGGGGCUCUCCCAUCGCGGGGGCGGCGUGGGGAGGACACCGGCCCGCCUGGGGGAACCCCCGGUGCGCGGUGGGCAGGCUCUCCCCCGAGCCCAUCACCGGAGUGUCGGGUCGCCCUUGGGGCUUUUCGUGCUUCUCCCUCCGCGCUCCUGAUGCGGGGCAUCUCCCCCCCACCCCCGGCCUCCCCAUCCUCUUCGCCGUGCCGUUGCCCAUCGCCUCGGCUUGA